This 557-nucleotide ribosomal RNA is filed under the name fungal sp. 54902. Its description in RNAcentral is "eukaryotic LSU rRNA". The stretch from base 200 to 353 matches the Rfam family "5.8S ribosomal RNA". The record is from RNAcentral. Lineage: Eukaryota; Fungi.
GGUCUCCGUAGGUGAACCUGCGGAGGGAUCAUUACACAAAUAUGAAGGCGGGCUGGAACCUCUCGGGGUUACAGCCUUGCUGAAUUAUUCACCCUUGUCUUUUGCGUACUUCUUGUUUCCUUGGUGGGUUCGCCCACCACUAGGACAAACAUAAACCUUUUGUAAUUGCAAUCAGCGUCAGUAACAAAUUAAUAAUUACAACUUUCAACAACGGAUCUCUUGGUUCUGGCAUCGAUGAAGAACGCAGCGAAAUGCGAUAAGUAGUGUGAAUUGCAGAAUUCAGUGAAUCAUCGAAUCUUUGAACGCACAUUGCGCCCUUUGGUAUUCCAAAGGGCAUGCCUGUUCGAGCGUCAUUUGUACCCUCAAGCUUUGCUUGGUGUUGGGCGUCUUGUCUCUAGCUUUGCUGGAGACUCGCCUUAAAGUAAUUGGCAGCCGGCCUACUGGUUUCGGAGCGCAGCACAAGUCGCACUCUCUAUCAGCAAAGGUCUAGCAUCCAUUAAGCCUUUUUUCAACUUUUGACCUCGGAUCAGGUAGGGAUACCCGCUGAACUUAAGCAU